UUGUACCUACGGGGGGCAGCAGUGGGGAAUAUUGCACAAUGGGGGAACCCCUGAUGCAGCGACGCCGCGUGAGUGAAGAAGUAGCUCGGUAUGUAAAGCUCUAUCAGCAGGAAAGAUAAUGACGGUACCUGACUAAGAAGCCCCGGCUAACUACGUGCCAGCAGCCGCGGUAAUACGUAGGUGGCAAGCGUUAUCCGGAUUUACUGGGUGUAAAGGGCGUGUAGGCGGGGACGCAAGUCAGAUGUGAAAACCACGGGCUCAACCUGUGGCCUGCAUUUGAAACUGUGUUUCUU
Molecule: ribosomal RNA, 293 nt
Filed under: uncultured bacterium
Lineage: Bacteria
Description: partial 16S ribosomal RNA
Rfam family: Bacterial small subunit ribosomal RNA
Source: RNAcentral